This 274-nucleotide signal recognition particle RNA is filed under the name Carlito syrichta (Philippine tarsier). RNAcentral describes it as "Metazoan signal recognition particle RNA (ENSTSYG00000027931.1)". It matches the Rfam family "Metazoan signal recognition particle RNA". From Rfam's summary of the family: The signal recognition particle (SRP) is a universally conserved ribonucleoprotein. It is involved in the co-translational targeting of proteins to membranes. The record is from Rfam by way of RNAcentral. Lineage: Eukaryota; Metazoa; Chordata; Mammalia; Primates; Tarsiidae.
GCCGGGUGCAGUGGCAUGUGCCCGGAGUCUCAGCAACUCAAGAGGCUUAGGUGGGAGGAUCGCUUGAGUGCAGGAGUUCUGAGCUGUCGAGUGCUAUGCCGAUGGGGUGUUUGCACUAAGCGAUCAAUAUGGUGCCUUCCCGGGAGCAGGGUGCCACAUGUUGCCUGGGUCAGAAACGGAGCAGGUGAAAACUCCCGUGCUGAUUAGUAGUGAAAUUACACCUAUGAACAGCCACUGCACUCCAACCCGGGUAACACAUUGAGACCCUGUCUCU